RNAcentral lists this ribosomal RNA (619 nucleotides) under Trichoderma harzianum. Its description in RNAcentral is "eukaryotic LSU rRNA". The stretch from base 232 to 385 matches the Rfam family "5.8S ribosomal RNA". Lineage: Eukaryota; Fungi; Ascomycota; Sordariomycetes; Hypocreales; Hypocreaceae. The record is from RNAcentral.
UCCGUAGGUGAACCUGCGGAGGGAUCAUUACCGAGUUUACAACUCCCAAACCCAAUGUGAACGUUACCAAACUGUUGCCUCGGCGGGAUCUCUGCCCCGGGUGCGUCGCAGCCCCGGACCAAGGCGCCCGCCGGAGGACCAACCAAAACUCUUUUUGUAUACCCCCUCGCGGGUUUUUUUAUAAUCUGAGCCUUCUCGGCGCCUCUCGUAGGCGUUUCGAAAAUGAAUCAAAACUUUCAACAACGGAUCUCUUGGUUCUGGCAUCGAUGAAGAACGCAGCGAAAUGCGAUAAGUAAUGUGAAUUGCAGAAUUCAGUGAAUCAUCGAAUCUUUGAACGCACAUUGCGCCCGCCAGUAUUCUGGCGGGCAUGCCUGUCCGAGCGUCAUUUCAACCCUCGAACCCCUCCGGGGGGUCGGCGUUGGGGAUCGGCCCUCCCUUAGCGGGUGGCCGUCUCCGAAAUACAGUGGCGGUCUCGCCGCAGCCUCUCCUGCGCAGUAGUUUGCACACUCGCAUCGGGAGCGCGGCGCGUCCACAGCCGUUAAACACCCAACUUCUGAAAUGUUGACCUCGGAUCAGGUAGGAAUACCCGCUGAACUUAAGCAUAUCAAUAAGCGGAGGA